CCUACGGGAGGCAGCAGUGGGGAAUAUUGGACAAUGGGCGCAAGCCUGAUCCAGCAAUGCCGCGUGAGUGAUGAAGGCCUUAGGGUCGUAAAGCUCUUUUACCAGGGAUGAUAAUGACAGUACCUGGAGAAUAAGCUCCGGCUAACUCCGUGCCAGCAGCCGCGGUAAUACGGAGGGAGCUAGCGUUGUUCGGAAUUACUGGGCGUAAAGCGUACGUAGGCGGUUAUUCAAGUCAGAGGUGAAAGCCCGGGGCUCAACCCCGGAACGGCCUUUGAAACUAGGUAGCUAGAAUCUUGGAGAGGUCAGUGGAAUUCCGAGUGUAGAGGUGAAAUUCGUAGAUAUUCGGAAGAACACCAGUGGCGAAGGCGACUGACUGGACAAGUAUUGACGCUGAGGUACGAAAGCGUGGGGAGCAAACAGGAUUAGAUACCCUGGUAGUCCACGCCGUAAACGAUGAUAACUAGCUGUCCGGGCACUUGGUGCCUGGGUGGCGCAGCUAACGCAUUAAGUUAUCCGCCUGGGGAGUACGGUCGCAAGAUUAAAAACUCAAAGAUAGUAGACGCGAGAGAGUCGACGAGACACAGGAGGUAG
RNAcentral lists this ribosomal RNA (591 nucleotides) under uncultured bacterium. RNAcentral describes it as "bacterial SSU rRNA". It matches the Rfam family "Bacterial small subunit ribosomal RNA", at positions 338 to 944 of the family's 1533-position model. The record is from RNAcentral.